RNAcentral lists this ribosomal RNA (377 nucleotides) under uncultured bacterium. RNAcentral's name for it is "bacterial SSU rRNA". It matches the Rfam family "Bacterial small subunit ribosomal RNA", at positions 521 to 898 of the family's 1533-position model. The record is from RNAcentral.
UAAUACGUAGGGGGCAAGCGUUGUCCGGAAUUAUUGGGCGUAAAGCGCGCGCAGGCGGUUUCUUAAGUCUGGUGUUUAAGUGCGGGGCUCAACCCCGUGUCGCAUUGGAAACUGGGAGACUUGAGUGCAGAAGAGGAGAGCGGAAUUCCACGUGUAGCGGUGAAAUGCGUAGAGAUGUGGAGGAACACCAGUGGCGAAGGCGGCUCUCUGGACUGUAACUGACGCUGAGGCGCGAAAGCGUGGGGAGCAAACAGGAUUAGAUACCCUGGUAGUCCACGCCGUAAACGAUGAGUGCUAGGUGUUGGGGGGGUCCACCCCUCGGUGCCGAAGUUAACACAUUAAGCACUCCGCCUGGGGAGUACGGUCGCAAGACUGAA